UGCGUGACGUUGAAUAAAUACCUCAUAUACAGAAAUCCAAAAUAUAUCGAACUAAUGAGAUUGAGAAUUUUGAGAAGAAACUAUUGAAACCCUAAUUUUUUUUUAUGGAUUUGCUUUCUAGCUUUAUUUUUCUGAAAUAUAUGAAAAAGAGAGAAUAGAAAAAGGGGAUUUAUAAGAGACUAUAGGGAGAGAUAUAACUCAAUUAGAGAAAGGGAAAAGAAAAAUAUAAAGAAAAAGUACAAGUCAACUAAACUGCAUAGUUGCAGUAGAAGAAUGAAUAAGAAAAAAGUAUCGGGUAAAUAGUUUUGGUCGUCUAAGUGUAUACUGUAAUAAUUUUGAGAGUAGGUAAAAGCGGGUAAUUAAUUUGUAUUUAAUAGGUAUAUAACAUAAAUUGCUCUAAAAUUAAUUCUUGUCAUCAUGUGAAGCUGUUGGGCUAAAAUAGCCCAAUUAUACUCUUAACAUACUAUGAUAUAAUCUAUUUUGGGCCAAGCCCGUGAAGAUUUUCCCAAAAGAGCUCACACUAUUAAGAGAUCCUUAUCCCUUACAUGUGGUCUCCCAAAAGAGCAAGUAGUGUUGAACCAAUUUCACCUAUCCCUAAAUAGUAUAUUGGUAAGUUUAAAUUGGAAUAUUAUAGCAUUAAUAUUCUAAUUUAGAACAUAGUAUCCAAACCAAAAAUAAAUAAUUAGAAUACAAUAUUCGAAACCAAACAUACCAUAAUAUUUUGAAUUGGAAUACAAUAUUUUAAUAAAGAAUACAAUAUUCAACCAGGCAUACCAUAAUAUUUUAAAUCGAAAUAUAAUAUUUAAAUCAAACAUACCAUAAUAUUUUAAUUUGGA
Molecule: long non-coding RNA, 836 nt
Filed under: Nicotiana benthamiana
Lineage: Eukaryota; Viridiplantae; Streptophyta; Magnoliopsida; Solanales; Solanaceae
Description: long non-coding RNA (NBEN_LNC015642)
Source: RNAcentral